UCUAGUUUCAAGCCUUUGCAUGUUUAUUUUUUUGUUGACUUUGUGUUGUGAGCCAAAAUUGGAGUAUUAAAGGUACCGUAAUGUCCUCGCGCGUGAGCAAGGAGAGACGCUGUUUAUUUGAGCAAUUGCAAACAACAAAACUUGUAAUGCAAGGUACCACUGUACGUAUUUCGCACCGCAAAGCCUUACUAGCAUUUCUAUACGGGAGAGCCUUUGCUUGCACAGUACCUCGGGAAAAGUUUAACCACUUUUUGUUUUGUUCUUGAGGCCUCCCUCCUUCUUUUCUAUGCAUGUCACCAUGGACCAGAAGGGAUCGUUUCUUUUCCUCACGUUGGCUCUGGGAACUGUGGUGAUUUUUUGUGUGUGUGUGUAUUUAAUUUGGAACGUUUCUGCAACCACUCUCUCCCAAGUGCUCUAUUUUGAUUGUAAGACACAAUCCAAUAUUUGCAGGCUAAUGGGUUUUUUUUCUCUUUCAAAUUAUGUAUGGAAAAUGCUUGAGUUCAAAUAUAUUAUUUGAGAAAUUUGA
Molecule: long non-coding RNA, 526 nt
Organism: Syngnathus acus (greater pipefish)
Lineage: Eukaryota; Metazoa; Chordata; Actinopteri; Syngnathiformes; Syngnathidae
Exons: 3
Source: RefSeq, a predicted model, not a curated record